UACGGAGGGAGCUAGCGUUGUUCGGAAUUAUUGGGCGUAAAGGGCUCGUAGGCGGUUUGUCGCGUCGGGAGUGAAAACGCCGUGCUUAACACGGCGCUUGCUUUCGAUACGGGCAGACUAGAGGUAUGUAGGGGAGAACGGAAUUCCUGGUGUAGCGGUGAAAUGCGCAGAUAUCAGGAGGAACACCGGUGGCGAAGGCGGUUCUCUGGGCAUUACCUGACGCUGAGGAGCGAAAGUGUGGGGAGCGAACAGG
Molecule: ribosomal RNA, 253 nt
Filed under: uncultured bacterium
Lineage: Bacteria
Description: partial 16S ribosomal RNA
Rfam family: Bacterial small subunit ribosomal RNA
Source: RNAcentral